AUUUUCAUCAAUCAAAAUAUAUCAAUUUGAAUAUUAUUUAAAAAGUCGUAAUACAUUAUUAAAUCUAGUGGAAGUGAACAAUUUGGAGACUGCAGUCACAGAAAUCUGGAAAAAUUAGUCGCUGAGAGUUGUCAAGAUGAAUCUUUUUAUUCUUUUCCUUGUUAUAGGACUAGUCAAAACACAAGAUUGGUCUGACUCAAACGACUCAAACGGCUUCUCAGAUAAUUCCGGGUCUUCUGAAGAAGCAGUAGGCUUUGGCAGGCAUACUGGUUUUAUGCGUCAAGCAGGUGCUUGGACAAAUACAAGGCCAGUAGCAAGUUUAUGGAAUACUUCUAUGAGGAGGAAUACUCCAAGCAAUUCAAGACAAUUAGUCAAUUCUUCAUUUAGAAGACAAUCGCCAAGAACAUCCCAUUUGAACGAAAGAUCCAAAUUUGUCUUACGUUUCGUGAUUAGACAACCCAAUCCAUCAUACAGAUCAGUUUACCAACACGUCUAGCCUAAAGUUAACGGACUGAAGUGAAGAAAAUUCAGGAGUGUAAAUGUUAAAAGCUACUAAAAUUUGUUAAUUUAUAUUAGUGUUAUUGCUUUAAAUUACUACAGAUAUAAAACUGUAUUUGGAAUGCAAAAACCUGUAACGUCAAUUUAUGCACGACAAACCUAUAGUUUGGCAUUGCACAAGGUAAUGUUUUCUCUAAUUGUUAAUGUCGCCUUUAACUACAUUCAUUGAAAGUUGGGUGUGCACUAAUUGACAUUUCAGUUUUAUGUUUAUGAAUUUUAGGUGUUAUUGGCUUUGAAUUUGCUGUCAGUUACUUCAAGUACUCUGAGAUCUGACCUAGUGUCCUUUUUGUUAAUAAAAUGAGUAAUAGAUAA
Long non-coding RNA from Mytilus trossulus (common blue mussel), 870 nucleotides. RefSeq lists it as uncharacterized. The record is from RefSeq and is a predicted model, not a curated record. The transcript is spliced from 3 exons. NCBI's taxonomy places the organism in Eukaryota, Metazoa, Mollusca, Bivalvia, Mytilida, Mytilidae.